This 421-nucleotide long non-coding RNA is filed under the name Homo sapiens (human). RNAcentral's name for it is "HSALNT0309511". Lineage: Eukaryota; Metazoa; Chordata; Mammalia; Primates; Hominidae. The record is from RNAcentral.
UCUCUCUCUCUCAUUUCUCUUUCUAUCUCUCUGUCUCUCUCUCUCUCUCAUUUUUCUCUCUCUCUCUCUCUCCCCCCUGGCUCUUAGAACCCAGCCAAGGGUGUUGUGAAGAAGCCAGAGAGUCAUCCAGGAAAACCAUACAUCAAUGUCAUUGGUGCUCCAGGCACAGCCCAGCUCAACUGAGGUCCCCAAUGACGCCAUCAUUAACCACCAGACUUGGGAGUGAAUGAAGCUUCAGAUGGUUCCAGCCCCCAACUUUCAAGCACACCCAGUGAUGCUGAGUGCAGCUGAUACAAGCUGUCCCCAACAAGCCCUGCCCAAGUUACAGAUUUGUGAGCAAACUAUCGAAGUGCGGUGCCGCAUCCCUAUUACCUUCAAUAGGGAUGGUACCAGGUUCAAGAGUCUGAAGAAGAGAUGCAGU